AAACUUACUGAUUCACUCCCAUCUAGCUGGGGUGAUUAGAACUGUAAAAUGGUUCAGUGCUUCUCAGCAUUUGUAAGGCCUUCUACAGGUGACAGAGUAAUGCUGGAAACACUGCAUUUAUCUCUGCAGAGGAUCUAAAAAGGAGACAUGCUCCUAAAAAAGCAUUUUACCUGAGGAAACUGCAGCAGCUCUAUCUUUGCCAGCAAAGUACACCGCUCUUUACAAGUCAGAACUCAAGCCCCCUUUUCCUUAUGACUCAGCAUUCCUGUUGGCCCAUACCAAAGCAAGAUGCUACCGGGCUGCUCUGUGAACAGUGGAACUGUUCCAAGGAAAUUAUGAACUACUUUUGUUUUAACAGAUCCUAAUUGCACAAGGAUGAACUGAAAAGUUUCCCAUGACAAACAAUUGCCACUCUCUGCAAAUCAGGAGUGCAGAGACCUCUGCACAUGUCCCUGCCUGUCAUGUUCACUCUUUGUUUUCUUAUCCUCCAUUCUGUUUUUCCCUUGGUUUAAUCAUCAGCCCUAAACACUCUGGUGUGGUCAGGUUAUCACUUACCCCAGUGAGAUGUGGGUCUUUACCCAGACUUUGGGAAAGCAACUGCAUACAGAAUUACCCUGACUGACAAACCCCCACUCAGCAAGGAGCAGCUCUGAUUUCAGUACCUCCCAAACAGAUGUAAACUAGAAACAAUCAGAAGAGAGGAAGGGUAAAGUCGCUAUAUGCACAAACUAACAGGCAUGAAUUUUCACAUAGGCUCCAGUUUUCAAGCAGCCAUCCUACAGCCUAUCUGCCAUGCCUUACAGACACAGUUCACUUUAACCAACUGAUAAAAACCUUGGCUUACCCUGCAAAAAAGGAGAUAACAGCAAGAAAAUGAACCAAUUCAGGAGCUUCAGCUCUUCUGUGCCUAAAUCCAACCGAUAGCCCCAAUGGAAAUAAAUCAGCGUUUAAAACACUUGAACUUUUCAUCAUCCAUUAGAGUAAACAUCCGCUGCUCAUUCAUUUUCCUUUUGCGGGAUCAUUGUCUUCACAAGUCUGAAUGAAUUGAUUUCUUCCAAUUGGGUUGGGUAGCAUGAGAGCUAAAUAUUCCCAACAGAUUGGAGCAUAAUCUGAGUGGUGUGCGUGAAAUAAAUUCCCAUCCAAACAAGGAAGUGACAGAUCAAUGCAGAGCUAACGUUACAAGUGCUGGAAUGGCAGAAGAAAUACAAAAGCACACAUAUGUGCAACAUGGGGCGUACGGGACGAGAAGGAAAGUUUCCCUAUUUUAAUAGGUUAAAUGGAAUUUUGGGAAGGCAGUCAUUACUUGAGAGAGAUCCAAGAAAAGACAAACUACAAAACCCUUAAGAAAACCCAACAAUUCUGGAUAUAGCCCCGUUCUUUCCAUUCCCAACCACACUAACAUCUGCAUUUGUAACAAAACAAAACUCAGAACAAAACCACCAUGUAACAAAAGUCAGUGAAAUCUAGGCUGGCAGCAGGUGCUUUAGUUUCACAUCUCUAAAAUGAAUAAAAAGGCAAAAAUAAGGCAAGUUCACCUUCCUUCCAAUAAAAACCCAUUACCAGGUCCAACAGUGACAGGUUUUGCAGAUACACAUGCGCGCACAUGCACUCAACAGUACUCCAUAAUAUCAGGUUUUCUGGUUAGAACUCAAAGCUGGCAACAGAGAGAAGUCCAGAAGCUUCUCCUCUACUGGUUUAUGCACAACUAAUGAGAUUGCAGUUAUCCUCAUGAUCCUGAUUAGGCCAUCAUUUGUAGCCAGAAUACAGACCGCCCCUCACCAAGGAAAGACAAUUACAUAUGAGGGAACCCAUCCCUCUGAACAUGCCCACGACUCAAACAAUAUCAAUUUCCUUCUCUUUAUUCUCUGAUUUAAGAUACUUUGCUUUUUUUCUUCCCAAUUCCUCCUCUUUUUCGCCUGCUCACCAAAUGGAAGUCACACAGAUAGGAAGGCAGAGAUACCAGCUGCUCUCGCUCUCCAUUUAUCUCUCUUAGGCAUUUAUGUACAUGCUUAACAAUGAGCACAUGCUUGAACCAGUCCUUAUUCAGUGAGACAUUAGAACUCGUUGUAAGCCUGACUGACACCAAGCAGAGUCAAACAAAGUUAACGUUGUGCUUCAAAGUCAUCCCAGACAAGUGGCACUUUAUUAAAUCUUUAUGUGGCAUUGGAUACCUUAACAAUACAGGCCUAAAUGACCUUCAAGAAGCAGCUUACUACAGCAUUUCACAGCAGUUAAGGAACACACAGUAGGGGACAGUUAAGGAAAUGUACCUAACUUCACAUCCUUACCACUCACAAGAAAAAGCUCAAGCAAGCUAACAGUAGAAAACUCAACUGAC
Molecule: long non-coding RNA, 2338 nt
Organism: Gallus gallus (chicken)
Lineage: Eukaryota; Metazoa; Chordata; Aves; Galliformes; Phasianidae
Source: Ensembl